GAUGAACGCUGGCGGCGUGCCUAAUACAUGCAAGUCGAGCGAAGCGGGGACGGGUGAGUAACACGUGGAUAACCCCCUAUAAGACUGGGGUAACUUCGGGAAAACGGAGUCAAACCGGAAACUUAUCGCUGGAUCUGCGCGGCAUUAGCUAGUUGGUAAGGUAACGGCUUACCAAGGCAACGAUGCAUAGACGGCCUGAGAGGGUGAUCGGCCAAACUGGAACUGAGACACGGUCCAGACGCCUACGGGAGGAAGCAGUAGGGAAUCUUGCGCAAGGGGCGAAAGCCUGACGGAGCAACGCCGCGUGUGUGAUGAAGGUCGUCGGGUCGUAAAGCUCUGUUAUUAGGGAAGCGGUGCCUGAUCAGGAAGCCCCGGCUAACUACGUGCCAGCAGCCGCGGUAAUUC
RNAcentral lists this ribosomal RNA (405 nucleotides) under uncultured bacterium. Its description in RNAcentral is "partial 16S ribosomal RNA". It matches the Rfam family "Bacterial small subunit ribosomal RNA", at positions 28 to 526 of the family's 1533-position model. The record is from RNAcentral.